RNAcentral lists this transfer RNA (72 nucleotides) under Camelus bactrianus (Bactrian camel). It matches the Rfam family "tRNA". Rfam says of the family: Transfer RNA (tRNA) molecules are approximately 80 nucleotides in length. RNAcentral also lists the same sequence under 1 other name. The record is from Rfam by way of RNAcentral. Lineage: Eukaryota; Metazoa; Chordata; Mammalia; Artiodactyla; Camelidae.
GAGGGUAUAGCUCAGGGGUAGAGUGCAUGCCUAGCAUGCACAAGGUCUUGGGUUCAAUCCCCAGUACCUUCA